Molecule: ribosomal RNA, 2178 nt
Rfam family: Bacterial large subunit ribosomal RNA
UUAAGCGACUAAGCGUACACGGUGGAUGCCCUGGCAGUCAGAGGCGAUGAAGGACGUGCUAAUCUGCGAUAAGCGUCGGUAAGGUGAUAUGAACCGUUAUAACCGGCGAUUUCCGAAUGGGGAAACCCAGUGUGUUUCGACACACUAUCAUUAACUGAAUCCAUAGGUUAAUGAGGCGAACCGGGGGAACUGAAACAUCUAAGUACCCCGAGGAAAAGAAAUCAACCGAGAUUCCCCCAGUAGCGGCGAGCGAACGGGAGGAGCCCAGAGCCUGAAUCAGCGUGUGUGUUAGUGGAAGCGUCUGGAAAGGCGCGCGAUACAGGGUGACAGCCCCGUACACAAAAAUGCACAUGCUGUGAGCUCGAUGAGUAGGGCGGGACACGUGGUAUCCUGUCUGAAUAUGGGGGGACCAUCCUCCAAGGCUAAAUACUCCUGACUGACCGAUAGUGAACCAGUACCGUGAGGGAAAGGCGAAAAGAACCCCGGCGAGGGGAGUGAAAAAGAACCUGAAACCGUGUACGUACAAGCAGUGGGAGCACGCUUAGGCGUGUGACUGCGUACCUUUUGUAUAAUGGGUCAGCGACUUAUAUUCUGUAGCAAGGUUAACCGAAUAGGGGAGCCGAAGGGAAACCGAGUCUUAACUGGGCGUUAAGUUGCAGGGUAUAGACCCGAAACCCGGUGAUCUAGCCAUGGGCAGGUUGAAGGUUGGGUAACACUAACUGGAGGACCGAACCGACUAAUGUUGAAAAAUUAGCGGAUGACUUGUGGCUGGGGGUGAAAGGCCAAUCAAACCGGGAGAUAGCUGGUUCUCCCCGAAAGCUAUUUAGGUAGCGCCUCGUGAAUUCAUCUCCGGGGGUAGAGCACUGUUUCGGCAAGGGGGUCAUCCCGACUUACCAACCCGAUGCAAACUGCGAAUACCGGAGAAUGUUAUCACGGGAGACACACGGCUGGUGCUAACGUCCGUCGUGAAGAGGGAAACAACCCAGACCGCCAGCUAAGGUCCCAAAGUCAUGGUUAAGUGGGAAACGAGUGUGGGAAGGACCCGAGACAGCCAGGAUGUUGGCUUAGAAGCAGUCCAUCAUUUUAAAGAAAGCGUAAUAGCUCACUGGUCGAGUCGGCCUGCGCGGAAGAUGUAACGGGGCUAAACCAUGCACCGAAGCUGCGGCAGCGACGCUUAUGCGUUGUUGGGUAGGGGAGCGUUCUGUAAGCCUGUGAAGGUGUACUGUGAGGUAUGCUGGAGGUAUCAGAAGUGCGAAUGCUGACAUAAGUAACGAUAAAGCGGGUGAAAAGCCCGCUCGCCGGAAGACCAAGGGUUCCUGUCCAACGUUAAUCGGGGCAGGGUGAGUCGACCCCUAAGGCGAGGCCGAAAGGCGUAGUCGAUGGGAAACAGGUUAAUAUUCCUGUACUUGGUGUUACUGCGAAGGGGGGACGGAGAAGGCUAUGUUGGCCGGGCGACGGUUGUCCCGGUUUAAGCGUGUAGGCUGGUUUUCCAGGCAAAUCCGGAAAAUCAAGGCUGAGGCGUGAUGACGAGGCACUACGGUGCUGAAGCAACAAAUGCCCUGCUUCCAGGAAAAGCCUCUAAGCAUCAGGUAACAUCAAAUCGUACCCCAAACCGACACAGGUGGUCAGGUAGAGAAUACCAAGGCGCUUGAGAGAACUCGGGUGAAGGAACUAGGCAAAAUGGUGCCGUAACUUCGGGAGAAGGCACGCUGAUAUGUAGGUGAAGUCCCUCGCGGAUGGAGCUGAAAUCAGUCGAAGAUACCAGCUGGCUGCAACUGUUUAUUAAAAACACAGCACUGUGCAAACACGAAAGUGGACGUAUACGGUGUGACGCCUGCCCGGUGCCGGAAGGUUAAUUGAUGGGGUUAGCGCAAGCGAAGCUCUUGAUCGAAGCCCCGGUAAACGGCGGCCGUAACUAUAACGGUCCUAAGGUAGCGAAAUUCCUUGUCGGGUAAGUUCCGACCUGCACGAAUGGCGUAAUGAUGGCCAGGCUGUCUCCACCCGAGACUCAGUGAAAUUGAACUCGCUGUGAAGAUGCAGUGUACCCGCGGCAAGACGGAAAGACCCCGUGAACCUUUACUAUAGCUUGACACUGAACAUUGAGCCUUGAUGUGUAGGAUAGGUGGGAGGCUUUGAAGUGUGGACGCCAGUCUGCAUGGAGCCGACCUUGAAAUACCA